Leucoraja erinaceus (little skate) is the source of this 1212-nucleotide long non-coding RNA. RefSeq lists it as uncharacterized. Lineage: Eukaryota; Metazoa; Chordata; Chondrichthyes; Rajiformes; Rajidae. The record is from RefSeq and is a predicted model, not a curated record. The transcript is spliced from 3 exons.
GGGCGGCGCCGAGCCGUCUAAUAACCACAGGCUGACGUCACCGUGAAGGGGGCCCGGCCCUUCUCAGUGAACGUCAUCUCACACGAAAAGAUGCCCUGUGGCGCUGCAAUCCGCCACCCGCUGCAACAUGCAUCGCAGGAAGGUUUUAAUGAGACUCCUGCCACAUAUUAGUCACCAAUUCCAGCUCCUUCUCUGAAGAUGGUUGGUUCCAAGACACUGCCCCGAGGAACUCUUCCAGAGAUCUCUGGAGGUCGAUGAGCACAGCCAUCUUCUUUUAUCAAGAGGAACUGCAAAUAGAACUGAAGAUUGCACAAUAUUUGAGUCAUGGAGAGAUACAGUGUGGAACCGGGCCCUUUGACCUACUGAGUCCAUGCUGACCACCAAGCACCCACUUACUCAUGAACACCCACUCGUUUAACCUUAUGAAUGAGAGAAGGUAAUUGAGGAAGCAGCUGUAGACAGUUGACCUCAGAACCCUGCCCUGAGGUGCGCCUGCUACAAUGUCCUGGAUCUUAGAUAAUUGCCUCAAACAAGUACAACCAUCUUUAUAUAGGAGAGGUACGACCCCAUCUGGUGGAGAGUUUUGACUGGCUGGUUUCCAUUGACUUCAACUUCACUGGAGCUCCUUGAUGCCACACGCUUAGUCAAAUGCUGCCUUGAUAUCAGGGCCUCUGUCUCUGAACGUUUGAGCAAAAAACAAAGUGAUGAAGGCACUUAGUGGAUCAGGUAUCAUCUGUGGGGGGAAUGAAUUGAUGCUGUUUUGGAUCGGGACCCUUCUCAGAUAGGCCCAGACUCUGAGCUUUUGUCCAGUAAGUAAGCUAUAGUUGACAUUUAAAGGAUGACUAUAUAGAGUUUGUACAUCAUAGAAACCUCAUCCUUCAACCCACCGUGUCUAUGUUGACCACCAUGUUCAUCUAUAUUAAUACCAAUUGCCUGCAUUAAUUCCAUAUCAGUCCUUGCUCAUUCAAGUACCUAUUCAGAUGCCUCUUAAAGGAUGGUACUGUUCCUGCCUCCAUCACUUACUCUGGCAGCUCAUUCCAGUUACCAACUAAUCUGUGUGAAAACCCUACACCUCAGAUUCCUUUUAAGUUUCCUACCUUCCACUUUAAACGUAUGGGUCUCUAGCUUCAGAUAUUUCGACCAUGCAAAAUAAACUCUGGUUUCUCAUAAUUUUAGAUACCUCUUUAGUACCAUCUCUCAGCUUCUUUCAUA